GGGGCAAUGGCGUAGUUGGGAGCGCGUUUGACUGAAGUAGCAAACUUCACCACGACAGGAUUCGGCCCAGCCAAUUCCAGUUAGUAAUCAGAAGGUCACCGGUUCGAUCCCGGUUUGCCCCA
This is a transfer RNA of Paracoccidioides sp., 122 nucleotides long. It matches the Rfam family "tRNA". Rfam says of the family: Transfer RNA (tRNA) molecules are approximately 80 nucleotides in length. Their secondary structure includes four short double-helical elements and three loops (D, anti-codon, and T loops). The record is from Rfam. NCBI's taxonomy places the organism in Eukaryota, Fungi, Ascomycota, Eurotiomycetes, Onygenales, Ajellomycetaceae.